GUGCUUACUUCAGCAGCACAUAUGCUAAAAUUGGAAUAAUAAACAGAUUAGUGUGGCUCAUGUUCAAGGUUGACAUACAAAUUCAUGAAGCAGUCUUUGAUAUG
This is a small nuclear RNA of Phascolarctos cinereus (koala), 104 nucleotides long. Lineage: Eukaryota; Metazoa; Chordata; Mammalia; Diprotodontia; Phascolarctidae. The record is from Ensembl.